UACGGGGGGGGCAAGCGUUGUCCGGAUUUACUGGGCGUAAAGAGCGCGCAGGCGGUCGUACAAGUCGCGUGUGAAAGCCCCCGGCUCAACUGGGGAGGGUCACGCGAUACUGUUCGACUCGAAGGCAGGAGAGGGAAGCAGAAUUCCCGGUGUAGUGGUGAAAUGCGUAGAUAUCGGGAGGAAUACCAGUGGCGAAGGCGACUUCCUGGCCUGUUCUUGACGCUGAGGCGCGAAAGCUAGGGUAGCAAACGGG
RNAcentral lists this ribosomal RNA (253 nucleotides) under uncultured bacterium. RNAcentral describes it as "partial 16S ribosomal RNA". It matches the Rfam family "Bacterial small subunit ribosomal RNA", at positions 524 to 776 of the family's 1533-position model. The record is from RNAcentral.